This 260-nucleotide ribosomal RNA is filed under the name uncultured Burkholderiales bacterium. Its description in RNAcentral is "partial 16S ribosomal RNA". It matches the Rfam family "Bacterial small subunit ribosomal RNA", at positions 524 to 783 of the family's 1533-position model. The record is from RNAcentral. Lineage: Bacteria; Pseudomonadati; Pseudomonadota; Betaproteobacteria; Burkholderiales.
UACGUAGGGUGCAAGCGUUAAUCGGAAUUACUGGGCGUAAAGCGUGCGCAGGCGGUUAUGCAAGACAGAGGUGAAAUCCCCGGGCUCAACCUGGGAACUGCCUUUGUGACUGCAUGGCUAGAGUACGGUAGAGGGGGAUGGAAUUCCGCGUGUAGCAGUGAAAUGCGUAGAUAUGCGGAGGAACACCGAUGGCGAAGGCAAUCCCCUGGACCUGUACUGACGCUCAUGCACGAAGGCGUGGGGAGCAAACAGGAUUAGAU